RNAcentral lists this ribosomal RNA (472 nucleotides) under uncultured bacterium. Its description in RNAcentral is "bacterial SSU rRNA". It matches the Rfam family "Bacterial small subunit ribosomal RNA", at positions 355 to 825 of the family's 1533-position model. The record is from RNAcentral.
UGGGGAAUAUUGGACAAUGGGGGAAACCCUGAUCCAGCGACGCCGCGUGUGUGAAGAAGGCCUGCGGGUUGUAAAGCACUUUCGGUGGGAACGAAAUAUGCCGGGCUAAUACCCCGGUAGGCUGACGUUACUCAAUGAAGAAGCACCGGCUAACUCUGUGCCAGCAGCCGCGGUAAUACAGAGGGUGCGAGCGUUGUUCGGAAUUACUGGGCGUAAAGCGCACGUAGGCGGACUGAUAAGUCAGGGGUGAAAUCCCGGGGCUCAACCUCGGAACUGCCUUUGAUACUGUUAGUCUCGAGUCCGGAAGAGGUGAGUGGAAUUCCUAGUGUAGAGGUGAAAUUCGUAGAUAUUAGGAAGAACACCAGUGGCGAAGGCGGCUCACUGGUCCGGUACUGACGCUGAGGUGCGAAAGCGUGGGGAGCAAACAGGAUUAGAUACCCCAGUAGUCCCUGAGCGGGCUGGCAAGGCGCAU